This 258-nucleotide long non-coding RNA is filed under the name Coffea arabica (coffee). RNAcentral describes it as "long non-coding RNA (CARA_LNC004576)". The record is from RNAcentral. Lineage: Eukaryota; Viridiplantae; Streptophyta; Magnoliopsida; Gentianales; Rubiaceae.
CCAAAUAUGCCUCUCUCAAGUAGCAGCUGUGCACGUAGUCCUCUGGGGUGGUAUUUAUUAGUGGAAUACAGCAAACUGCAUGGCAACAGGGCAAUCCCGUGAGCUCCCACUUUCUACACGUGCAUGUGCGUCUUUCGACAUCAACCACAUAGAUUCCACUGUAGAUAUGUUGCACUUCGAAUUUUUUGUCGUCUGAGUGUCUAGCAAUAUUGGAGGCAACCUCAUUUUUUGCCUUUUCAAGCUUUUUUUGAAUCUUUG